UACGUAGGGUGCAGGCGUUAAUCGGAAUUACUGGGCGUAAAGCGUGCGCAGGCGGUUUCUUAAGUCAGAUGUGAAAGCCCCGGGCUUAACCUGGGAACUGCGUUUGAAACUGGGAGACUUGAGUGUGGCAGAGGGGGGUGGAAUUCCACGUGUAGCAGUGAAAUGCGUAGAUAUGUGGAGGAACACCGAUGGCGAAGGCAGCCCCCUGGGUUAACACUGACGCUCAUGCACGAAAGCGUGGGGAGCAAACAGGAUUAGAUACCCUGGUAGUCCACGCCCUAAACUAUGUCAACUGGUUGUCGGGGGAUUAAUUCCCUUGGUAACGAAGCUAACGCGUGAAGUUGACCGCCUGGGGAGUACGGCCGCAAGGUUA
Molecule: ribosomal RNA, 373 nt
Filed under: uncultured prokaryote
Description: bacterial SSU rRNA
Rfam family: Bacterial small subunit ribosomal RNA
Source: RNAcentral